CGGCCUACUUCGUACUCAACAUCUGUCUAAGAAGGAUAAGAUUUCGGGUAGAGGUGUUCAGGAUGGCAAAACGGAACUGCUAGAUUUGCUGGAAAGAAACUUUUAUCAUGUGUGAGGCACGGCAAAGGCUAACAGAACUGCCUAAGUGUGAGUUCGCCGGUGCGGAAGCUUAUAUAAUCGUCCCGAGUCCUCUUCGCACUGGAUCUGCCGGUCAAUCGUUUAUGGAAUUUUAUUAUCCAUAUUAUUUGCUGCUUCAUGUACACUCACAUGUACUAUACACGGCAUAAGGCGGCUUCCUUGUUUC
Long non-coding RNA from Varroa destructor (honeybee mite), 304 nucleotides. RefSeq lists it as uncharacterized. NCBI's taxonomy places the organism in Eukaryota, Metazoa, Arthropoda, Arachnida, Mesostigmata, Varroidae. The record is from RefSeq and is a predicted model, not a curated record.